CGGACGGGAAUCUGCGGGUAGCAAUAUUCGUGGAUUCUAGUGGCGAAAGGGUGCGUAACACGUAGCUCACCUACCUCACUGUGGGGGAUAGCUCGGCGAAAGCCGGAUUAAUACCGCAUGUGGUCGAGAGACUAAAGCUGGGGAUCGUAAGACCUGGCGCAAUGAGAUGGGGCUGCGGCCUAUCAGCUAGUUGGCGGGGUAAAAGCCCACCAAGGCAAUGACGGGUAGCUGGUCUGAGAGGACGACCAGCCACACUGGAACUGAGACACGGUCCAGACACCUACGGGUGGCAGCAGUCGAGGAUUUUUCUCAAUGGGGGAAACCCUGAAGGAGCGACGCCGCGUGAGGGAUGAAGGUCUUCGGAUUGUAAACCUCUGUCAUCUGGGAUCAAUGCUGUUCACCUAACACGUGAACAGUUGCUAGUACCAGAAGAGGAAGCAGUGGCUAACUCUGUGCCAGCAGCCGCGGUAAUACAGAGACUGCAAGCGUUGUUCGGAUUCAUUGGGCGUAAAGGGUCCGCAGGCGGUCAAGUAAGUCGGGUGUGAAAGCUCGUGGCCUAACCACGAAAUGUCAUUCGAAACUACUUGGCUCGAGGGCUGGAGAGGAGGCUAGAAUUGCUGGUGUAGCGGUGAAAUGCGUAGAGAUCAGCAAGAAUACCAGUGGCGAAGGCGGGUCUCUGGACAGUUCCUGACGCUCAUGGACG
RNAcentral lists this ribosomal RNA (703 nucleotides) under uncultured Verrucomicrobiota bacterium. RNAcentral's name for it is "bacterial SSU rRNA". It matches the Rfam family "Bacterial small subunit ribosomal RNA", at positions 63 to 755 of the family's 1533-position model. The record is from RNAcentral. Lineage: Bacteria; Pseudomonadati; Verrucomicrobiota.